GGGGGUGAACUGGCUUCGACGGGGUAUGGAACGGCUAUUAAGGCGACCCGGCAAGGAACCGCCGUAAAGGACCAAACUUUAUAAUUGCCAAUGACGAGCACUACGCUCCGGCUUUAGCUGCAGCCUAAAACUGUUGCUUUAGCGGGGUCUGGAUCCGGGCCCGGCAACAGAAGCCUUGUGCAGGAUCACACCGGAAUGCGGAGGCCGGUUAAUAUCCAGGGACGCUCAGUUCUCCGAGGUAACGGGGGCCAAAGGGUAUAGUCGGUCUGAAACCGCCCUGAGGCAGCAUGGCCGACGAGAUGGUCGUAAUUCCUUGUAUCUUAAUACAUGUUUCGGACCGGGGUUCGACUCCCCGCACCUCCACC
This 365-nucleotide transfer-messenger RNA is filed under the name Candidatus Magnetococcus massalia. Its description in RNAcentral is "magneto-ovoid bacterium MO-1 tmRNA". It matches the Rfam family "transfer-messenger RNA". Rfam says of the family: Bacterial tmRNA, also known as 10Sa RNA or SsrA, is named for its dual tRNA and mRNA-like properties. Its role is to liberate the mRNA from a stalled ribosome. The record is from RNAcentral. Lineage: Bacteria; Pseudomonadati; Pseudomonadota; Magnetococcia; Magnetococcales; Magnetococcaceae.